Long non-coding RNA from Salvelinus fontinalis (brook trout), 4237 nucleotides. RefSeq lists it as uncharacterized. Lineage: Eukaryota; Metazoa; Chordata; Actinopteri; Salmoniformes; Salmonidae. The transcript is spliced from 2 exons. The record is from RefSeq and is a predicted model, not a curated record.
UGUUUGUUACAGAUAAUAGUUUUGGAAACAGAAAACUGUUUCCUGUUUCCAAAUGUUCCAUCAAUGAGCAAAGUAGCAGAAUGUUGGACAAAAUACAUCUCGCUCCUUAUUUUCCCUCUACCGGCCACUGGUUUUCUCCUCAUUACCAUAUUUGGUAGUUAGUGGAAACGCCAACCGGAUGCUUCACAUUUAUACAUCCGGUGAAAUAUCUGGCUCAUUGUUCAACGGGUGUAAAGCCACAGAACAAUCUCCGUCUCGCGAUAGUCUGAACGAAGGCGAGAGAAGGGUAGUUACCACAGCCACAAAGUCGUAAACGCCCGCAUACGCGACCAAUCCGAUGAGGGAGUGUGAUGGCGGUGAUUAUACACUAGAUUACGGUAAAUUGCCGUUUAUGCCGCCCAUUGUAACUCGAUUGUGGGCGUGCUGGCAGCCUUUCGAUCGUGCGUCAAGAAUUCAGCAUAGCAAGUUUGUAUGAAGGUCUGGUUAUUAAAUUGAUACAUAGUUCAAUAGUAAUAUCCUCUAAAACGCUCAGAUGACACACUUUGCUGCCCUGUUUCCAAUUGUCCACAUGGCUGGGAGAAUCUAUUCAAUACAAUAGGAGACAGACAGAUAUCUCCUUUCGUCGUUAAUAUCAAUCAUAAAGGAAAAGGGCAAAGUACGAGAGUCAUGCUAUUACUUGUCCAAAGCAGGGAUGGAGCGUGAGCUAGUGAGGUAGGCUGCAGUGGGUUUGUUGGUCAAUACAUAUACUGAACAUGUAACCACAGUAGUGCCCAGCAAAUAAAAAUAUAAUAUUGACAAAUUAAACAAAUUGUAGACCUUUAAUCUUUUCCAACAUGUCAAGACACUUAAUUUAAAUCAAUUAUGAAACAUUUCACAGUGUUAACUUUCUCUUUAUCCCUGGUUGAUGUACCUGUCAGAGCCUCUUCAGUGUGGAUGGGGUAUAGCAUACAUUUUCAAAAACAAAGACUGCACUUCCAGUGUGUGUUCUUUACUCUGUUGAACUCUUUUGUCUUCAUUCUUAGGCACAGCACAUGGAACCACCGUUGGCAUGCAAAACAUUCAAACGAAACAAAGCGUAACACGUUAUAAAUAAUAUCAAAUAUCAAUGCAGUAUGACGAAUUAGCCAUCCAUUGUGUUAUAUCAUAAAUUGUCAAAUGAAUACACAAGACAAAUUUGUAUGCUGUUUUCCUUAUCAAUAUAAUCUAGUAGUAAUUUAUUAGAGGUAAUUUCCUUUAUGCCCCAUUCUACACACAGCCUAAAUUAUAAGCACUGAACCAUUUACAGGACAAUAAAAGUAGCAUAUAGGAUCCAACCCUAUCACUGAGUGAAUAAAUGUACUGUCGUGGGCAAAAGUUUUGAGAAUGACACAUAUAAAGUUUCACAAAGUCUGCUGCCUCAGUUUGUAUGAUGGCAAUUUUCAUAUACUCCAGAAUGUUAUGAAGGGUGAUCAGAUGAAUUGCAAAGUCCCUCUUUGCCAUGCAAAUGAACUGAAUCCCCCAAAAACAUUUCCACUGCAUUUCAGCCCUGCCACAAAAGGACCAGCUGACAUCAUGUCAGUGAUUCUCUUGUUAACACAGGUGUGAGUGUUGACGAAGACAAGGCUGGAGAUCACUCUGUCAUGCUGAUUGAGUUCGAAUAACAGACUGGAAGCUUCAAAAUGAGGGUGGUGCUUGGAAUCAUUGUUCUUCCUCUAUCAAUCAUGGUUACCUGCAAGGAAACAGGUGCCAUCAUCAUUGCUUUGCACAAAAAGGGCUUCACAGGCAAGGAUAUUGCUGCCAGUAAGAUUGCACCUAAAUCAACCAUUUAUUCAAUCAUCAAGAACUUCAAGGAGAGCGGUUCAAUUGUUGUGAAGAAGGCUUCAGGGCGCCCAAGAAAGUCCAGCAAGCGCCAGGACCAAAAGGUUAGAGCUGCCAUUUAAGGAGCGGGCCACUAAGAAGAAAUCGCCCCUCUGACAAACCAUCAAACAGCCAAAGCGUCAAUAAAGGAGAAAGAUCUGUCACACCCUGAUCUUUUUUCACCUGUCUUUGUGCUUGUCUUCACUCCACCCUGAUCUGUUUCACCUGUCUGUGUGCUUGUCUCCACCCCCCUCAAGGUGUCAUCCAUCUUCCCUAUUAUCCCCAGUGUAUUUAUACAUGUGUUCUCUCUGUCUGUUCCCAGUUUGUCUUGGCUUGUCAAGCCUACCAGUGUGUUUUUCCGUGCUCCUGUUUUUCCUAGUCUCUGUUUUCUAGCCUUCCUGGUUCUGACCUGUUCUGCCUGCCCUGACACUGAGCCCGCCUGCCUUCCCAUUCUGCCUGCCUUAACCUCGAGCCUGCCUGCCCCCCUGUACCUUUCGGACUCUGACCUGGUUAAUGUAUUUGGCGCAUGUGACAAAUAGAAUUUCAUCAAAUCUAAAUCAAACUUUAUCUCUCCUCAACCUGCCUAUUGCCUGCCCCUUGUAUUCUAAUACAUAUCAGAGAUUCAAACCAUCUGCCUCCUGUGUCUGCAUCUGGGUCUCGCCAUGUGACGUUAUAAGAUCUAAACCUACUAUACCGGCUCUGACGCUCGUCGGAUGUGGCAGGGCUUGCAAACUAUCACGGAUUGCGAAGGGACACCCAUUCAGGACCACGGCCCCAUACCGGAUCAGAUGACCAGAGAGAAGGGUCAGGCCCAGGCUAUCCACAUCAACAGCCAGAGCAGGAAGCCCAUCUCAAUGAGUCAGACCAGUGAACAAAUCCCCAGCCACCACAUCCAGGGCCUUCCAGAUACAGGCUGGUACUGUACUGCCUCUUACCUCUACACCACCAGGCUAGCCCAGCCAUAUAAUGUUUAGGCCCAGCACAACUGACUGAAUGGGCGAGAACUGUCUCCUACCUCUACUGGUGUAAAGUUAGGACACUAGUAUAGCCCAGCCCUGAUACGUGGCCGAAGUAGACGCCGCAAAGCAUAGGAGUCAACAGGCAUGUAUCAGGGCUAGCCCAGCCAUAUAAUGUUUAGGCCCAGCACAACUGACUGAAGGACCAACAGAACUGACUGAAUGGGCGAGAACUGUCUCCUACCUCUACUGGUGUAAAGUUAGGACACUAGUAUAGCCCAGCCCUGAUACGUGGCCGAAGUAGACGCCGCAAAGCAUAGGAGUCAACAGGCAUGUAUCAGGGCUAGCCCAGUCUGACUAAAUACUUUUUUGCCCCACUGUAGCUGACUUUGCCUUAGUUCAAAUUCAGGUUGGCAGGACAAUGAAUGUAAAAGGCAUUUCUCACAAUGGUUGUACAUUUUAUUAAGUUAUGCAGUAAUACCAGGAUGUUGAUGUUAAAAUGUCACUAUCCGAGCUAGAGAAAAUAUGAUCCCAACUAGAAGGUUAUUCUGUGCAACACUGACAUCUUCUGGCUCACAUGAUGUAAAUGAAUAAAAGCUCAAAAUAGUUAAAUCAAAUAAAAAUGUAUUUUAUUGAUCAUAUACAAAUGGAUAGUAGAUGUUAUUGCAAGUGUAGCGAAAUGUUUAUGCUUCUAAAUCUGACCGUGCAGCAGUAUCUAACAGGUCAUAUCUAACAAAUUCCACAACAAAAUCUAAUACACACAAUCUAGUAAAGGAAUGGGAUGAGAAUAUAUAAGUAUAAAAUAGAUUGAUGAGCAGUGACAGAGCGGCUAAGAUGCAAUAGAUAGUAAAGAAUAGAUAGUGAAGGAUACAGUAUAUACAUAUGAGAUGAGUAAUGCGAGAUAUGUAAAUAUUCUUCAAGUGGCAUUAUUAAAGUGGCCAAUGAUAUCUCUGUGCUAGUGGUGGCUGUAUAACAAUCUCAUGGCCUUGAGAUAGAAGCUGUUUUUUUUUAUCUCUCUGUACCAGCUUUGAUGCACUUGUACUGACCUCGCCGGGGUGAACAGGUAGUGGAGGUGGAUAUUGUCAUUGAUUAUAUUUUUUUGCCUUCCUGUGACAUCGGGGUUGUAGGUGUCCUGGAGGGCAGGUAGGUUGCCCCCGGUGAUGCGUUGUGCAGACCGCACCACCCUCUGGAGAGUUGCAGUACCAGGCGGUGAUUCAGCCCGAUAGGAUGCUCUCAAAUGUGAACCUGUAAAAGUUAGUGAGGGUUUUUGGUGACAAGCCACUUUUUUUCAGUCUCCUGAGGUUGGAGAAGCCCUGUUGCGCCUUCUUCACCACACUGUGUGCAUGGACCAUUUCAGUUAUUUAGAAGAUAAAAGGUAUUCACGUCUCUAGUCAUGUCAUCCAAUAAUAUAUUCCAUGAUCUAAUAAAAGCAUUGUUCAGCUUUG